RNAcentral lists this transfer RNA (355 nucleotides) under uncultured Microcystis sp. RNAcentral's name for it is "partial 16S-23S ribosomal RNA intergenic spacer". The stretch from base 133 to 206 matches the Rfam family "tRNA". Lineage: Bacteria; Bacillati; Cyanobacteriota; Cyanophyceae; Chroococcales; Microcystaceae. The record is from RNAcentral.
AAGGGAGACCUAAUUCGGGUAUAAGACGAAAAAAGAGUAGUCGAAACCAAGAAUCAAUCCCAAAAGGUCGGAACGAGGUAUGUGGCUUUCAAACUAGGUUCUGGGUUCACACAAGACCUGAAUCAGGAACAAGGGCUAUUAGCUCAGGUGGUUAGAGCGCACCCCUGAUAAGGGUGAGGUCCCUGGUUCGAGUCCAGGAUGGCCCACCUGCACAGGUGGCAAAAACAAAGAAGCGAGGAAUCAGCACCUUAUCUUAUCUAUAUAUAAGAGAGAAUGCUGGCUCUGAGUAAAGAGUCCAGAGGAACCUUGAAAACUGCAUAGAGCUAGGUGGAAAAGCCAAAAAAGAAGACCGCAA